This 667-nucleotide ribosomal RNA is filed under the name uncultured marine bacterium. Its description in RNAcentral is "bacterial SSU rRNA". It matches the Rfam family "Bacterial small subunit ribosomal RNA", at positions 56 to 711 of the family's 1533-position model. The record is from RNAcentral.
UGCAGUCGAACGGUAACAGAACUAGCUUGCUAGUUGCUGACGAGUGGCGGACGGGUGAGUAACGCGUAGGAAUCUACCGAGUAGCGGGGGACAACAGUUGGAAACGACUGCUAAUACCGCAUAAGCCCUAAGGGGGAAAGGAGGGGAUCUGUUUACAGACCUUUCGCUAUUUGAUGAGCCUGCGUGAAAUUAGCUAGUUGGUGAGGUAAGAGCUCACCAAGGCGACGAUCUCUAGCUGGUCUGAGAGGAUGAUCAGCCACACUGGGACUGAGACACGGCCCAGACUCCUACGGGAGGCAGCAGUGGGGAAUAUUGCACAAUGGGGGAAACCCUGAUGCAGCCAUGCCGCGUGUGUGAAGAAGGCCUUCGGGUUGUAAAGCACUUUCAGUUGUGAGGAAAGGUUAGUAGUUAAUAACUGCUAGCUGUGACGUUAGCAACAGAAGAAGGACCGGCUAACUCCGUGCCAGCAGCCGCGGUAAUACGGAGGGUCCAAGCGUUAAUCGGAAUUACUGGGCGUAAAGCGCGCGUAGGUGGUUUGUUAAGUGGAAUGUGAAAGCCCUGGGCUCAACCUAGGAACUGCAUCCCAAACUGACAGACUAGAGUACAAUAGAGGGGUGUGGAAUUUCCUGUGUAGCGGUGAAAUGCGUAGAUAUAGGAAGGAACACCA